This 30-nucleotide non-coding RNA is filed under the name Mus musculus (house mouse). Lineage: Eukaryota; Metazoa; Chordata; Mammalia; Rodentia; Muridae. The record is from RNAcentral.
UAUAUACCUGGUCUUACAGGAGUCCCACAG